GGACUACCAGGGUAUCUAAUCCCGUUUGCUCCCCUGGCUUUCGCGCCUCAGCGUCAGAAGAGGUCCAGCGCGCCGCUUUCGCCACCGGUGUUCCUUCCGAUAUCUACGCAUUUCACCGCUCCACCGGAAGUUCCGCACGCCCCUACCUCCCUCGAGACUCGCAGUAUCAAAGGCACUUCCACGGUUGAGCCGUGGGCUUUCACCCCUGACUGGCGAGCCCGCCUACGCGCCCUUUAAGCCCAGUGAUUCCGAAUAACGUUCGCACGGUUCGUCUUACCGCGGCGGCUGGCAC
This 292-nucleotide ribosomal RNA is filed under the name uncultured bacterium. RNAcentral describes it as "partial 16S ribosomal RNA". The record is from RNAcentral. RNAcentral also lists the same sequence under 1 other name.